This is a long non-coding RNA of Macaca fascicularis (crab-eating macaque), 1912 nucleotides long. The record is from Ensembl. Lineage: Eukaryota; Metazoa; Chordata; Mammalia; Primates; Cercopithecidae.
AAUUAUUAUCAUUAUUUUGAAUAGGUGAAACAUACACACAGUGAAACAUACACAGUAAAACAUACAAAAGGUUCAAAGCGUAAGUGAAAAGCAAGCAUUCCACCUCAUUUCUCAGUUGUCCAGUUCUGUCCCCCACUGUACUCCAGAGGCAAUCACUUUUCCUUGGGGUGACUCAGCACACUGAAGUUUGAGGGUCACCGUCAUACAUACGGGAUAGACCAAGAUGGGCGGUUCUCUGCACUCCAGAGCUCACACCAAAAUUGCAGAUAAGACCACCAUUCAAAGACAAGUGCCUGAGGAAGGUCUCAAAGUCACCAGCAAAGAUGCCAGGGGCUCCUGUUCAGUGCAUGUCUACACCUCCUAUUUCUAGGACCUUCCAAUCCGCUUCCUUCUGGGGACCACUUCACGUAGGAGGCAGUCCUUACACAGGUCAUCUUGUCACAAGCAAAGAUCAGGAAAGGAUAGGUGGGUAAGGGGAGAGUAAGACAUGAUGAUGAACUAAGGGGAGUCUGCAGAGAGGUCUAAGCUGGAAAGGUCUGGACAGAAACCCAAUAUUCAGUCUUUCCAUUUGUAUUUCUGAUUAUUUGUAGUAACCAGAAACUUCAGACAGGGUUUCACCGUGUUAGCCAGGAUGGUCUCGAUCUCCAGACCUUGUGAUCUGCCCUCCUCGGCCUCCCAAAGUGCUGGGAUUACAGGCCUGAGCCACCGCGCCCGCCGGCCGAAUAGAUUCUUCAGAAAAAAAAUCACUGAUGGCAGGGCACAGUGCCUCACGCCUGUAAUCCUAGCACUUUGGGAGGCUGAGGCGGGAGGAUCACCUGAGGCCAGGAGUUGAAGACCAGCCUAACCAACAUGGUGAAACCCGGUUUCUACUAAAAAUACAAAAAUUAGCCGGGCGUUGUGCGGGCCCUUGAAUCCCAGCUACUAGGGAGGCCGAGGCAGGAGAAUCACUUGAACCUGGGAAGAAGAGGCUACAGUGAACCAAGAUCACGCCACUGCAUUCCAGCCUGGGCUACUGAGUGAGACUCAGUCUCAAAAAAAAAAAAAGGCGUGGGGUGGGGCGAAAUUCGCUGAUGUUUUAACCAUUCUGGGGUCACAGCCUCCUUUGGGAAUCCCAUGAAAAUUAUGGACCUACUCUGGAAAAAGGCACAAACAGGUAAACCUCCACAACUACUGCGGAAGCCUCACAGACUACCAGCCUACCCAGGGAUCCCAGGAGGUCCAAGUUAAGAACCCCACUUUGAGAUGUUUCUUGUACUAAGAAGCCUGGUUUACAAAAAGUCUUCCCAUAUUUGUUUAGAGAACCCCAACGAUGUCGCCACUUGCAGCGAAGCGCCCUAGCAUGAACCGUAGUCCAGUUGGCUCAGGAGGUGGAGGCGGUGGUGGAGGCGGCUGGGGGCCUCCGCUUCUGGUGGCCGCAGGAGCAACCCACAGACAGGUAAUGGCUGCCAUGGGGGGCGGGGGCGUCGUCCUUAGCUUUUAGCGCCACCCGGCUGGCCCCUGUGCUUCGUGCGCAUUUCAUGGCCUCUGGGUGCCGUACCUGCUUCCCGCCUGGCUUUCCUGGGUGGCGGAGAGCGAACCCAUCCCAGCCCGGAUUGGGGGAGGGGGCGUCGGCGCAGGGUCCCGUGGGCAGAGCUGCGCUGGGAGCCGACGGGCUCCGCAUUCAUCAUUGUUCCUCCAGCGCCUGGCACGGGCUGGGCCGCAGCAGGGACCGUGGCCUGAAGCGCGCCAUCCCCUUCGCGUCGCCUGCCCGCCCGCCGAGCUCGCCGCCCACAGGUGUUUCCAGGGCUCCUUCCACCCGCCGGACAGAGGGAGGACCUAGAAGCCCAACCUGGCCCGCUGCUGGCCGAGAGCACAACAGCCGGCGGGCGCUGGCGGGCGCGGGGCGCACGGGGCCGCGGAGGGACCCGCGCGC